Molecule: ribosomal RNA, 328 nt
Filed under: uncultured eukaryote
Lineage: Eukaryota
Description: partial 18S ribosomal RNA
Rfam family: Eukaryotic small subunit ribosomal RNA
Source: RNAcentral
CCCUUAGAUGUCCUGGGCCGCACGCGCGUUACACUGAUGCAUACAACGAGCUUAUAACCUUGGCCGAGAGGCCUGGGCAAUCUUGUUAACGUGCAUCGUGAUAGGGAUAGAUUAUUGAAAUUAUUAAUCUUGAACGAGGAAUUCCUAGUAAACGCAGAUCAUCAAUCUGCAUUGAUUACGUCCCUGCCCUUUGUACACACCGCCCGUCGCACCUACCGAUUGGAUGGUCCGGUGAAGCCUCGGGAUUGUGGUUCUUGCCGCUUUAUUGUGGCGUGACCGCGAGAACUUGUCUAAACCUUAUCAUCUAGAGGAAGGUGAAGUCGUAACA